RNAcentral lists this unclassified non-coding RNA (406 nucleotides) under soil metagenome. Its description in RNAcentral is "partial contains 5.8S ribosomal RNA, internal transcribed spacer 2, and large subunit ribosomal RNA". The stretch from base 1 to 121 matches the Rfam family "5.8S ribosomal RNA", at positions 35 to 154 of the family's 154-position model. The record is from RNAcentral.
GAUGAAGAACGUAGCGAAAUGCGAUAAGUAAUGUGAAUUGCAGAAUUCAGUGAAUCAUCGAAUCUUUGAACGCACCUUGCGCCCUUUGGCCAUUCCGAAGGGCAUGCCUGUUUGAGUAUCAUGAACACCUCAACUCUUCAUGGUUUUCCGUGAUGAGCUUGGACUUUGGGGGUCUUGCUGGCCUAUGGUCAGCUCCUCUAAAAUAAAUCAGCUUGCCAGUGUUUGGUGGGUAUCACAGGUGUGAUAACUAUCUACGCUUGUGGUUUUCCACCAGGUAACCUUCAGCAGAGGAGGUUCGCUGGAGCUCACAGAUGUGUCUCUCCUCAGUGAGGACAGCUCUUUGAAUGUUUGAUCUCAAAUCAGGUAGGACUACCCGCUGAACUUAAGCAUAUCAAUAAGCGGAGGA